AGGCAGGUUUUAGCACAUUGCUGUUCUGCUGAGGUCUUAAAGUAUUUGAUAAGCUUUAACCGUGUAAAUGUUAGUGGUAUCUACAGUGCUUGUAGUCAUUCUCUGGAAGUCUGCAACGUUUAGUGAUGAAAGCACUGUCCUAGUAUCUAUGUACAAGGUGAUAUCAAAGAGUUUAGGGACUGAGGGUGUGACUGGUGCUAUUCUGACUACGUGCAUUACCAUGUCUGGGAUUUCAUUACAGAAAGUUAGAACAAAGAGCAAACUUGAAAUUCUACGUGAAACGUCACAAAUGUGCACUUCAAGAGAGGAAGAACAUCACCGGAAGAUGAUGAGAAUCAGGAAGUCAUUCAACAAGCUUCAACAAAAUCAACCAUUCAGCAACUCGUGCAUGACGAUCGUCGGAGGACUUGAUCCCACUUCCGCACCUACCCUACCUGACAGAUUUUUUUUCUCAUUAGAACUUUGCCCUCUUCCCGGAAAUCAAGAUCCAGCUCGAAGGCUGCCGUUUUGACAUCCGCAGUGAAUCGCAGCAGGCGCUUCGAAAAGAAGACAUCCAGGACACGUUCCAAAAGAAUGCUGGGAGUGCUGUAAUGUUGUGCAAAGGGACUAUUCUGAAGCGAGACGAGAUUAGCGCUUGAGGACUUUGAGAAUGCAAAUGAUCGUGAUGCUGUUCGUCGCUCAUUGUUGUCUGAUGUUCCUGUUGCUUUUACUUCAUCCUGCAACUGGUUUCAGGUCAUCCGUGAAAGGAAGCUGUUUGUUUUCUUUCUGCUAGAAUCGUCCCUCACCAUACAAGGAUACAAGCACUUUGACGUGGAACGAUGAGGGAACGUAAACAAAGAGCAUUCCAGGGUGAAGGAUGAUGGUAUGGUUUGCUCAGGACUUCUUUGAGUUUGAGGCAUUUCUCCUUAUUUUAGAGGAGUUUUAAUAUCCAAAUUAUUGUGGUAGAAACUUUGAGUUUGAAGAGGUAACGUGUAUCCCUCUCUAACUUCACCCAUCCAGGCCAGAUGAAAAGGUGCCCCCCCAUCCCCCUUGGGUGGACAUGUCUUCAUUGUCGUGGUUAAAGUGCUUGAGUUAGAAGAUAAAAGCGUAGUCAACUGAAGGCUUUAGCGGAUGUCUGAACGAGGUCUGAAUGAAAGCAAUGGAUUUUUAGACAGGAUGCGCUGACAAGGUAGAAAUAAAAGCAAAAAGGCUGAAAGAGGUGUCAGGUUUUGCUCUCACUCUCUGUGUGGACAGGACAAUUUGUUCCUAUUAGUCCUGCUUAACAUUCUGUCUUAAUCUGUGUCACGCUGCUGGAAUUGAAAAAAUAUUUCUUGCUUGUCCACAAAUAUAACCCUGUCCCUUUCAAGGCUUUUACUUCCUUCAUUUUAUCCAAAAAUACAAUAAAUCUGUUUUAAUCUG
Silurus meridionalis is the source of this 1398-nucleotide long non-coding RNA. RefSeq lists it as uncharacterized. The transcript is spliced from 3 exons. Lineage: Eukaryota; Metazoa; Chordata; Actinopteri; Siluriformes; Siluridae. The record is from RefSeq and is a predicted model, not a curated record.